AGACCCGAAACCCGGUGAUCUAGCCAUGGGCAGGUUGAAGGUUGGGUAACACUAACUGGAGGACCGAACCGACUAAUGUUGAAAAAUUAGCGGAUGACCUGUGGCUGGGGGUGAAAGGCCAAUCAAACCGGGAGAUAGCUGGUUCUCCCCGAAAGCUAUUUAGGUAGCGCCUCGUGAAUUCAUCUCCGGGGGUAGAGCACUGUUUCGGCUAGGGGGCCAUCCCGGCUUACCAACCCGAUGCAAACUGCGAAUACCGGAGAAUGUUAUCACGGGAGACACACGGCGGGUGCUAACGUCCGUCGUGAAGAGGGAAACAACCCAGACCGCCAGCUAAGGUCCCAAAGUCAUGGUUAAGUGGGAAACGAUGUGGGAAGGCCCAGACAGCCAGGAUGUUGGCUUAGAAGCAGCCAUCAUUUAAAGAAAGCGUAAUAGCUCACUGGUCGAGUCGGCCUGCGCGGAAGAUGUAACGGGGCUAAACCAUGCACCGAAGCUGCGGCAGCGACACUCAGGUGUUGUUGGGUAGGGGAGCGUUCUGUAAGCCUGUGAAGGUGGCCUGUGAGGGUUGCUGGAGGUAUCAGAAGUGCGAAUGCUGACAUAAGUAACGAUAAAGCGGGUGAAAAGCCCGCUCGCCGGAAGACCAAGGGUUCCUGUCCAACGUUAAUCGGGGCAGGGUGAGUCGACCCCUAAGGCGAGGCCGAAAGGCGUAGUCGAUGGGAAACGGGUUAAUAUUCCCGUACUUGGUGUUACUGCGAAGGGGGGACGGAGAAGGCUAUGUUGGCCGGGCGACGGUUGUCCCGGUUUAAGCGUAUAGGUGUGUGUUCCAGGUAAAUCCGGUUCACUUUAACACUGAGGCGUG
RNAcentral lists this ribosomal RNA (856 nucleotides) under Salmonella enterica. Its description in RNAcentral is "partial 23S ribosomal RNA". It matches the Rfam family "Bacterial large subunit ribosomal RNA", at positions 711 to 1565 of the family's 2925-position model. Lineage: Bacteria; Pseudomonadati; Pseudomonadota; Gammaproteobacteria; Enterobacterales; Enterobacteriaceae. The record is from RNAcentral.